This 355-nucleotide long non-coding RNA is filed under the name Physcomitrium patens. RNAcentral describes it as "long non-coding RNA (PPAT_LNC004475)". The record is from RNAcentral. Lineage: Eukaryota; Viridiplantae; Streptophyta; Bryopsida; Funariales; Funariaceae.
GGCUGACAUCAUGGUCCAGUUGCUGCUCUACUUGCUGAACUGAAUGGGGACGAGAUUGCAAAUCACCUGGACUGAGUCUAUGGCUACUGGUGAGCGUAGGUUCAUCAGGACGUGAUCUAAGGCGAAUAAGACCUUCCAUAGAUCCAUAGCCAUAAUCUUUGACAUCCGCCUCGACAUCAUUGUUAGAACGGCUACUGACAUGCGAAGGUUCAUCAGAGCCUGCUUUAAGGUGAAUAAGACCUUCCAUCGAACCAUAGCCAUAAUCUUCAGGAAAUCCCUCGGGACCCUCUCUGAACUGAAACUGAGGAGCAGGGGAAGCAAACACAGGGGUGGACACAAAAGCGGGAGUAGCAGG